This 973-nucleotide ribosomal RNA is filed under the name Staphylococcus aureus. RNAcentral's name for it is "bacterial SSU rRNA". The stretch from base 337 to 973 matches the Rfam family "Bacterial small subunit ribosomal RNA", at positions 874 to 1520 of the family's 1533-position model. Lineage: Bacteria; Bacillati; Bacillota; Bacilli; Caryophanales; Staphylococcaceae. The record is from RNAcentral.
AUAUUCGGAACAUCUUCUUCAGAAGAUGCGGAAUAACGUGACAUAUUGUAUUCAGUUUUGAAUGUUUAUUUAACAUUCAAAUAUUUUUUGGUUAAAGUGAUAUUCCUUUUGAAAAUAAAGCAGUAUGCGAGCGCUUGACUAAAAAGAAAUUGUACAUUGAAAACUAGAUAAGUAAGUAAAAUAUAGAUUUUACCAAGCAAAACCGAGUGAAUAAAGAGUUUUAAAUAAGCUUGAAUUCAUAAGAAAUAAUCGCUAGUGUUCGAAAGAACACUCACAAGAUUAAUAACGCGUUUAAAUCUUUUUAUAAAAGAACGUAACUUCAUGUUAACGUUUGACUUAUAAAAAUGGUGGAAACAUAGAUUAAGUUAUUAAGGGCGCACGGUGGAUGCCUNGUGGUUUAAUUCGAAGCAACGCGAAGAACCUUACCAAAUCUUGACAUCCUUUGACAACUCUAGAGAUAGAGCCUUCCCCUUCGGGGGACAAAGUGACAGGUGGUGCAUGGUUGUCGUCAGCUCGUGUCGUGAGAUGUUGGGUUAAGUCCCGCAACGAGCGCAACCCUUAAGCUUAGUUGCCAUCAUUAAGUUGGGCACUCUAAGUUGACUGCCGGUGACAAACCGGAGGAAGGUGGGGAUGACGUCAAAUCAUCAUGCCCCUUAUGAUUUGGGCUACACACGUGCUACAAUGGACAAUACAAAGGGCAGCGAAACCGCGAGGUCAAGCAAAUCCCAUAAAGUUGUUCUCAGUUCGGAUUGUAGUCUGCAACUCGACUACAUGAAGCUGGAAUCGCUAGUAAUCGUAGAUCAGCAUGCUACGGUGAAUACGUUCCCGGGUCUUGUACACACCGCCCGUCACACCACGAGAGUUUGUAACACCCGAAGCCGGUGGAGUAACCUUUUAGGAGCUAGCCGUCGAAGGUGGGACAAAUGAUUGGGGUGAAGUCGUAACAAGGUAGCCGUAUCGGAAGGUGCGGCUG